This 448-nucleotide ribosomal RNA is filed under the name uncultured bacterium. Its description in RNAcentral is "bacterial SSU rRNA". It matches the Rfam family "Bacterial small subunit ribosomal RNA", at positions 330 to 795 of the family's 1533-position model. The record is from RNAcentral.
GCCAGACUCCUACGGGAGGCAGCAGUGGGGAAUAUUGCACAAUGGGGGAAACCCUGAUGCAGCAACGCCGCGUGAGUGAAGAAGUCAUUCGUGAUGUAAAGCUCUAUCAGCAGGGAAAAAAAUGACGGUACCUGAGUAAGAAGCCACGGCUAACUACGUGCCAGCAGCCGCGGUAAUACGUAGGUGGCAAGCGUUGUCCGGAUUUACUGGGUGUAAAGGGCGUGUAGCCGGGCUGACAAGUCAGAUGUGAAAUCCGGGGGCUCAACCCCCGAACUGCAUUUGAAACUGUUGGUCUUGAGUAUCGGAGAGGCAGGCGGAAUUCCUAGUGUAGCGGUGAAAUGCGUAGAUAUUAGGAGGAACACCAGUGGCGAAGGCGGCCUGCUGGACGACAACUGACGGUGAGGCGCGAAAGCGUGGGGAGCAAACAGGAUUAGAUACCCCGGUAAUC